RNAcentral lists this ribosomal RNA (433 nucleotides) under uncultured bacterium. Its description in RNAcentral is "partial 16S ribosomal RNA". It matches the Rfam family "Bacterial small subunit ribosomal RNA", at positions 29 to 507 of the family's 1533-position model. The record is from RNAcentral.
AACGAACGCUGGCGGCAUGCCUAACACAUGCAAGUCGAACGAAACGUUCGGGCCUAGUGGCGCACGGGUGCGUAAGGCGUGGGGAGCUGCACUUAGGUUCGGAAUAACUCCCCGAGAGGGGUGCUCAUACAGGAUGAUGUCUUCGGACCUAAGAUUUAUCGCCUUGGGAUGGGGGCGCGUAGGAUUAGCUAGUUGGUAGGGUAAAAGCCUAGCAAGGCGACGAUGCAUGGCUGGUCGGGUAGGAGGCUUAGCCAGGGUUGGAAUGAGACACGGCCCAGACUCCUACGCGAGGGUGCAGUAUAUAGUACUGUACGAUGGGCGCUAGCCUAAUCCAGCAACGCCGCGGGAGUGAUGAAUGCGUUAGUAUUGUAAUGCUCUUUUUCCCGAGAUGAUAAUGACGGUACCGGGUAAAGAAGCACCGGCUAACUCCGUG